This is a non-coding RNA of Nelumbo nucifera (sacred lotus), 304 nucleotides long. The record is from RefSeq and is a predicted model, not a curated record. NCBI's taxonomy places the organism in Eukaryota, Viridiplantae, Streptophyta, Magnoliopsida, Proteales, Nelumbonaceae.
GAGACAAAUAGCAAAGAUGUGGGGAGUACCGAUGUCAGAAGCAGAAACAUUAUAUCCUCUUAAUAAGCCCAUAGUUCAGGAUUUGCAAUCAGAUUUAUGAGUUGGAAGGGUUACCCUCAAAUGCACUGAAGCUGCAUUACAUUUACAUCACUAAAAGAAACCUUUUGUGGAUAUCUGUAGUUCACUACAUGUUCUUGAGAGGAUAGCAUGUUCUGUUAAGUGCAAUGAGCCAGUUCUUUUGGUUGGUGAAACUGGUACUGGAAAAACAACUCUUGUACAGAAUCUUGCAGUGAGGCUUGGCUAA